UCCAGACUCCUACGGGAGGCAGCAGUGGGGGAUAUUGCACAAUGGGGGGAACCCUGAUGCAGCGACGCCGCGUGGGUGAAGAAGCGCCUCGGCGCGUAAAGCCCUGUCAGCAGGGAAGAAAAUGACGGUACCUGAAGAAGAAGCCCCGGCUAACUACGUGCCAGCAGCCGCGGUAAUACGUAGGGGGCAAGCGUUAUCCGGAUUUACUGGGUGUAAAGGGGGCGCAGACGGCGAUGCAAGCCAGGAGUGAAAGCCCGGGGCCCAACCCCGGGACUGCUCUGGAAACUGUGCAGCUAGAGUGCAGGAGAGGCAGGCGGAAUUCCUAGUGUAGCGGUGAAAUGCGUAGAUAUUAGGAGGAACACCGGUGGCGAAGGCGGCCUGCUGGACUGUAACUGACGUUGAGGCUCGAAAGCGUGGGGAGCAAACAGGAUUAGAUACCCUGGUAU
Molecule: ribosomal RNA, 446 nt
Filed under: uncultured bacterium
Lineage: Bacteria
Description: bacterial SSU rRNA
Rfam family: Bacterial small subunit ribosomal RNA
Source: RNAcentral